AUUCAGUUGACGAGUCCAAAAUAGGACGAAACACGCGUCCUGGAU
This 45-nucleotide non-coding RNA is filed under the name Schistosoma bovis. Lineage: Eukaryota; Metazoa; Platyhelminthes; Trematoda; Strigeidida; Schistosomatidae. RNAcentral also lists the same sequence under 1 other name. The record is from RNAcentral.